This 1497-nucleotide ribosomal RNA is filed under the name human oral metagenome. RNAcentral describes it as "bacterial LSU rRNA". It matches the Rfam family "Bacterial large subunit ribosomal RNA", at positions 599 to 2106 of the family's 2925-position model. The record is from RNAcentral.
GCGUGCCUUUUGUAGAAUGAACCGGCGAGUUACGUUAUGAUGCGAGGUUAAGUUGAAGAGACGGAGCCGCAGGGAAACCGAGUCUGAAUAGGGCGCCUUAGUAUCAUGUCGUAGACCCGAAACCAUGUGACCUACCCAUGAGCAGGUUGAAGGUGCGGUAAGACGCACUGGAGGACCGAACCAGGGCACGUUGAAAAGUGCUUGGAUGACUUGUGGGUAGCGGAGAAAUUCCAAACGAACUUGGAGAUAGCUGGUUCUCUCCGAAAUAGCUUUAGGGCUAGCGUCGACAUUAGAGAUUCUUGGAGGUAGAGCACUGUUUGGGUGAGGGGUCCAUCCCGGAUUACCAAUCUCAGAUAAACUCCGAAUGCCAAAGAAUUAUGGUCGGCAGUCAGACUGCGAGUGCUAAGAUCCGUAGUCGAAAGGGAAACAGCCCAGACCACCAGCUAAGGUCCCAAAAUAAUUGUUAAGUGGAAAAGGAUGUGGGGUUGCACAGACAACUAGGAUGUUAGCUUAGAAGCAGCUAUUCAUUCAAAGAGUGCGUAAUAGCUCACUAGUCGAGUGACCCUGCGCCGAAAAUGUACCGGGGCUAAAACAAUUUACCGAAGCUGUGGAUACCUUUAUAGGUAUGGUAGGAGAGCGUUCUAUGUGUGAAGAAGGUAUACCGUGAGGAGUGCUGGAACGCAUAGAAGUGAGAAUGCCGGUAUGAGUAGCGAAAGACAGGUGAGAAUCCUGUCCACCGUAAGACUAAGGUUUCCAGGGGAAGGCUCGUCCGCCCUGGGUUAGUCGGGACCUAAGGAGAGACCGAAAGGUGUAUCCGAUGGACAACAGGUUGAUAUUCCUGUACUAGAGUAUGUAGUGAUGGAGGGACGCAGUAGGCUAACUAAAGCAGACGAUUGGAAGUGUCUGUCUAAGCAGUGAGGUGUGAUAUGAGUCAAAUGCUUAUAUCUAUAACAUUGAGCUGUGAUGGGGAGCGAAGUUUAGUAGCGAAGUUAGUGAUGUCACACUGCCAAGAAAAGCUUCUAGCGUUUAAACAUACUCUACCCGUACCGCAAACCGACACAGGUAGUCGAGGCGAGUAGCCUCAGGUGAGCGAGAGAACUCUCGUUAAGGAACUCGGCAAAAUGACCCCGUAACUUCGGGAGAAGGGGUGCUGGCUUUAAGUCAGCCGCAGUGAAUAGGCCCAAGCAACUGUUUAUCAAAAACACAGCUCUCUGCUAAAUCGUAAGAUGAUGUAUAGGGGGUGACGCCUGCCCGGUGCUGGAAGGUUAAGAGGAGUGCUUAGAGGUAACUCGAAGGUAUGAAUUGAAGCCCCAGUAAACGGCGGCCGUAACUAUAACGGUCCUAAGGUAGCGAAAUUCCUUGUCGGGUAAGUUCCGACCCGCACGAAAGGCGUAAUGAUUUGGGCACUGUCUCAACGAGAGACUCGGUGAAAUUUUAGUACCUGUGAAGAUGCAGGUUACCCGCGACAGGACGGAAAGACCCCAUGGAGCUUUACUG